RNAcentral lists this unclassified non-coding RNA (270 nucleotides) under fungal sp. RNAcentral's name for it is "partial internal transcribed spacer region". The stretch from base 1 to 46 matches the Rfam family "Eukaryotic small subunit ribosomal RNA", at positions 1786 to 1831 of the family's 1831-position model. Lineage: Eukaryota; Fungi. The record is from RNAcentral.
AAGUCGUAACAAGGUAACCGUAGGUGAACCUGCGGUUGGAUCAUUAAUGAAUUAUGUUUUAACGUGUAGUUAAAGCUAAUUAGAAGUGAGACUUUGAAGGGUCGAAAGACUUGGAUAAGUUUCCUUCGCUUACCACUGUGAAUUGUUUUUAGUCCUUGGUAGUGUAAAAGCUUACCAUUGGCUACUCAAACAUUAAAGUCUUUAGAAACUAGUCUUAAAUAAAACAACUUAAUGUUGAAACAACUUUUGACAACGGAUCUCUUGGCUCUC